This is a regulatory RNA element of Erysipelotrichaceae bacterium MTC7, 136 nucleotides long. It matches the Rfam family "Ribosomal protein L10 leader". From Rfam's summary of the family: This family is a putative r-protein leader autoregulatory structure found in B. subtilis and other low-GC Gram-positive bacteria. It is located in the 5' untranslated regions of mRNAs encoding ribosomal proteins L10 and L12 (rplJ-rplL). Lineage: Bacteria; Bacillati; Bacillota; Erysipelotrichia; Erysipelotrichales; Erysipelotrichaceae. The record is from Rfam.
UAACAAUGUUUCAAUAUGCCAUAGACAGUAACGGCGUUAACGCUUAAUCAUGUUACCGAGGUAAAUGAGGAAAAAUGUAAAACUUUUAACUCGUUUUGUCUAUGUAAAUGGAUAAGACGAGUUUUUUAUUCUCUUA